UAUAAUGAGGGUUUGAUCCUGGCCCAGGAUGAACGCUGGCGGCGUGGAUAAGGCAUGCAAGUCGAACGAACCCUUCGGGGUUAGUGGCGAACGAGUUAGUAACGCCUUGGUACUUACCGUAUAGUCAAGAAUAACCAGCCGAAAGGUUGGCUAAUACUUGAUAGUCUCGAAAGAGUAAAGGAGCAAUCCGCUAUACGAUAGGCCUAGGUCCUAUCAGCUAGUUGGUAAGGUAACUGCUUACCAAGGCUACGACGGGUAGGGGGAGUGAGAGCUUGACCCCCAACGACGGCACUGAGACACGGGCCGUACACCUACGGGUGGCAGCAGUCGAGAAUAUUCCACAAUGGGCGAAAGCCUGAUGGAGCGACGCCGCGUGCAGGAAGAAGGCCUUCGGGUUGUAAACUGCUUUUCUAGGAGAAAAAGUCUGGCCAAUUGUGCUCGCUAAUUUCGGUUAGUGGGUGCAAUUGGCUAGAUUGAUGGUACCUUAGGAAUAAGGGGUUGCUAACUUCGUGCCAGCAGCAGCGGUAAUACGAAGACCCCAAGCGUUAUCCGGAUUUAUUGGGCGUAAAGAGAGAGCAGGAGGUUUGGUGCGUCUGUUGUUAAAUCCCACCGCUCAACGGUGGAACUGCAAUGGAUACGACCAGACUAGAGGAUACUAGAGGUUACUGGAACACACAGUGUAGGGGUGAAAUCCGUUGAUAUUGUGUGGAACACCAAAGGCGAAGGCAUGUAACUGGAGUAUUCCUGACUCUGAGUCUCGAAAGCGUGGGGAGCAAAAAGGAUUAGAUACCCUUGUAGUCCACGCCGUAAAUGAUGUUCACUAGCUAUCGGAAGUAUCGACCCUUUCGGUGGCGAAGCUAACGCGUUAAGUGAACCGCCUGGGAAGUACGGUCGCAAGACUAAAACUCAAAGGAAUAGACGGGGACUCGCACAAGCGGUGGAUCAUGUGGUUUAAUUCGAUGGUACACGAGGAACCUUACCAGGGCUUGAAAUUCUACUGAAUGCGGUUGGAAACGAUCGAGGCUUAAGAUUUAUCUUUGGCAGUAGGACAGGUGCUGCACGGUCGUCGUCAGCUCGUGGCGUGAGCUGUUCCCUUAAGUGGGGUAACGAGCGCAACCCUCGUCCUGUGUUACAAGUGUCACAGGAGACUGUCCGCUUUAAGCGGAAGGAAGGUGGGGAUGACGUCAGAUCAGCGUGGCCCUUUGAUGCCCUGGGCUACACACAUGAUACAAUGGUCAAGACAAAGGGUUGCCAAGCCGUAAGGCGGAGCUAAUCUCAAAAACUUGGCCUCAGUUCGGAUUGAGGGCUGAAACUCGCCCUCAUGAAGUUGGAAUCGCUAGUAAUCGUGGAUCAGAUAUGCCACGGUGAAUACGUUCUCGAGUCCUGUACUCACCGCCCGUCACACCAAGGGAGCUGGUAGCGGAUAGAGUCUCACCUAGCGUGGGAUGAGUUCGAGAUCAGUGACAGGGGUGAAGUCGUAACAAGGCACGCGUAGCGGAAGCUGUGCGUAGAUUAAUUAAAUA
Candidatus Wolfebacteria bacterium is the source of this 1523-nucleotide non-coding RNA. NCBI's taxonomy places the organism in Bacteria, Candidatus Wolfeibacteriota. The record is from Rfam.